AACGCGAAGAACCUUACCUGGGCUCGAAAUGUAGUGGACUGAGGUAGAAAUAUCUCUUCCCCGCAAGGGGCUGCUAUAUAGGUGCUGCAUGGCUGUCGUCAGCUCGUGUCGUGAGAUGUUGGGUUAAGUCCCGCAACGAGCGCAACCCUUAUCCCUAGUUGCCAUCGGGUCAAGCCGGGCACUCUAGUGAAACCGCACAGGAUAACUGUGAGGAAGGUGGGGAUGACGUCAAGUCCUCAUGGCCUUUAUGUCCAGGGCUACACACGUGCUACAAUGGUCGGUACAAACCGUCGCAAACCCGCGAGGGGAAGCUAAUCGGAAAAAGCCGGCCUCAGUUCGGAUUGGAGUCUGCAACCCGACUCCAUGAAGCUGGAAUCGCUAGUAAUCGCGGAUCAGAACGCCGCGGUGAAUACGUUCCCGGGCCUUGUACACACCGCGCAUA
RNAcentral lists this ribosomal RNA (442 nucleotides) under uncultured bacterium. RNAcentral's name for it is "bacterial SSU rRNA". It matches the Rfam family "Bacterial small subunit ribosomal RNA", at positions 958 to 1398 of the family's 1533-position model. The record is from RNAcentral.